RNAcentral lists this long non-coding RNA (225 nucleotides) under Carica papaya (papaya). RNAcentral describes it as "long non-coding RNA (CPAP_LNC005285)". The record is from RNAcentral. Lineage: Eukaryota; Viridiplantae; Streptophyta; Magnoliopsida; Brassicales; Caricaceae.
CAGAAAUAAUCAUGCACUCAAAUUUUGUGGAUACACGGGAUCCUCAUAGACUUCCAAGGGUAGGUGCAGUUCCUCAUUUUCUUCCUCAUCUAUGGGGCAUGGAAAGAGUUAGUUUGGUAUGCUCAGUAAGAAAAAUAAUAUUAAAUUAACAUCGCAAGGUUUUAAAGGUGAAUUAUUUUAACUUAAAAGCUUACCAUUUGGCCACCUCGUAGACCUAUCUUACAU